Molecule: long non-coding RNA, 978 nt
Organism: Musca domestica (house fly)
Lineage: Eukaryota; Metazoa; Arthropoda; Insecta; Diptera; Muscidae
Exons: 3
Source: RefSeq, a predicted model, not a curated record
UUCACACAAAAUCUAAAAGGGGGAUAAAAGGAAGCCUGAAACAUGUCUAUAAAAAAAAGAAAAAGAAACCGUUCACCUAAACUACAACCCAAAUCCCAAACUUACUUUACUUUAUCACCACAGAAAACAGUGCUCCUGGCGGCUGACCAACCAGGAGAUAUCCCUCCCUCCGAGAACACCUCUCGCCAUGACGUCUACUUAUCCCUGACGUCCCAGAUUUGACCCUUAACUUACCACAUUUUAUCCCAUGGCCACCACCUUUUUAAUAGGGCUUUAAGCCGAAAACAUAUUUAUCUUUUCUAUAAAAAAUUUGUACAUUUUAUUCAGCCAAUUUUGCUCUUCAAAGAUAUGAACAAUUCAACAAGGCUUUUAUAUGUUAUAAAAAAAACAUAAUGACAAAAAAAUCGAAGAUAUAAAUUUACAGCGCCAAAAUUAUUUUAAAAUAUCAUAUUUGCUCCUUUCUCCUUUCAGGUUGCGAUGGCGGUCGACAAAAAGUAUGGAACAGUAAAGGCUGCUAAUGUUUGAGGUUCUUCCCAAUUGGGAAGGACAAACAAAGGAGUGGUGUCGACAACCAAAAAAAUCGACGAGCGAAAUAAAAUGCCUGGUUACCUAACCUUGAAUAGAGCUCUUUUCAACGUCGUGAACCUGCACCUCAAUCAAAAUGAAAACGGCGGAAUUUAAUUAUUUAGCUUCGUCGUCCGUCUGUCUGUCCGGAGUUCAGUGUGACAAAUGUCGAUUGGGAAUGAUACCAGGCCACGCUGGAGCAGCAAUGGCGUAAAAUCUGCGCCUCCCUCGAUGGAUUGGACGGGCGAUGGUGUGGCUCGUUGACUCCAGUUUCCUGGUCUGGAUAUUUAGGUUUAAGAUUUAUUUUUUUUAGUUUUAGAAUUUCAAUUGUUUUGUUUUCAAAUUUGUUUAAUUGUUUCCAAACUUUGUUCAAUUUUUUUCCAAAUUUUGUUUAAAUUUUAAAAUAAGUUUAAU